UACGGAGGGGGCAAGCGUUAUUCGGAAUUAUUGGGCGUAAAGAGCUCGUAGGCGGUUUGUCGCGUCUGCCGUGAAAGUCCGGGGCUCAACUCCGGAUCUGCGGUGGGUACGGGCAGACUAGAGUGAUGUAGGGGAGACUGGAAUUCCUGGUGUAGCGGUGAAAUGCGCAGAUAUCAGGAGGAACACCGAUGGCGAAGGCAGGUCUCUGGGCAUUAACUGACGCUGAGGAGCGAAAGCAUGGGGAGCGAACAGG
RNAcentral lists this ribosomal RNA (253 nucleotides) under uncultured bacterium. RNAcentral's name for it is "partial 16S ribosomal RNA". It matches the Rfam family "Bacterial small subunit ribosomal RNA", at positions 524 to 776 of the family's 1533-position model. The record is from RNAcentral.